RNAcentral lists this long non-coding RNA (3972 nucleotides) under Oryza sativa (Asian cultivated rice). Its description in RNAcentral is "long non-coding RNA (OSAT_LNC000923)". The record is from RNAcentral. Lineage: Eukaryota; Viridiplantae; Streptophyta; Magnoliopsida; Poales; Poaceae.
CUACCAUUUGUGACGCCCCACACUUUUAUCACUAAAGAUAAAUGUGCGAGAACAUAGAUUAUUAUUUAACAACCAUUAUUUUGCCAAAUAAUAAUCCACCAUCAGAGAUCGCAACAGAGGAAUAGUUAGAGCUACCUUUAAUUCGUCCCUAGGAGUAUUAAGGCCAUCUCUAAUCCAGCUCACUCUUGCAAGGGAUCAAACCUGUACAAAGGGGGUUAUAUAGCAAGGGUGAGCACUUUCGUACUCAGCAAGUCAUUAGUAGCAAAAUGUACACGCAUGAAUAAUAAUAUAUAACUCUAUAUACUACAAUACUAUACCUUACGUAACAUCAUCACCUUCAUUGUCAUCAAAAGUAAAGUAUAUUUCUAUUUUGUAAAAGAGUUUUCAAAAGGAGAUUUAUAAAAGCUAGAGUACACUCGUACAUUGAAUAGAGUUUGUAGCAACUCCCCGUAGACUCCAAUCCAGGAGACAGGCGUGAAUCACGAUUUAAUUUAGCACUGCGCAGGCUUGUAUCACUGUACCCAUAGCUACUCUUAACAUGUUUGAUUGUCGCACUUCACUAGAUACGGCACCAUGCUAAGAGUACAUAACUUUUCCCCUACUUCAAUUUACUACACUCCACGUUUGUGUAGAGCCUAUCAGCUCUCCACACCACCGCGCUACUAUAUGCGCUUGGAAUGCACUUCAUCGGCAUUCAUGGGGUUUAUAUCAUCUCCCAUUCUACUACUACGUACCCAUGUGGAGUAUAAUAAACUUGAUAAGGUACUAGGUCCAGCCCAUCUUAAGACGGAUCUAUGGUUGACACGGUAUAUACGGUUCUCUGAUACGAAUGAUGGGGUGAUUAGUCCUUAUAUUUAUACACCGUAUGUAGGGAGAGCCCUGACCUGCCAUCAUCAUCAAUCAUCUCAUCCCUGAGCUCCCCCUACCCACCAUACUAGUAUCCCGAUGAUCUCCAUCAUCAUCGGCUUGUCAAUCAUAUCAUCAUCGUUCAUAUCAUUAUUCUAGAAAAUAUAUAUUGAUGCAAUACUAGGAGAAAUAUUUUUAUGAAAUAGGUUUUUAAGUUGAAAUAGAAUUAUCUCUAUCAACAUGAUCAAAUGAGAGGGACUUGCCUGAGUUUUCUGUGAUCGAAACUGAAAUAAUAUACUACUGCCAAUUGACACGUUCCAACUCUAGCUUCUUUCCUGAAAUUUGUUAUAUACGCUGAGGCUUCAAUAAAAUUUCAGCACAAGAAAUACAAAUGCUCUCCAAUUAAAAUGUGCUCUGCAGAGUUUAUUUUAUUGUGCCAGCUUUCUUAUGUUUAAUAGCUAAUUUAUCUAACUCUAAGCUUGAACUGCACAAUACUAUUCCGGUAGCAGGUUCAAUUUAAUGACUUGUGUAGUCUAGUAGUGUACAUCUAGCAAUUUAAUCCCCUUCCAUUCUCUCCUUCUCUCUCGAACAGAUAAGGCAGCAGCAGCAGUAAUUCCUCCGCUUCUUCUUCCUUGCUGCUGUUCCUAAGGCACUUCUCCCUUCCCCAACUAAAUCAUCCAAGCCAUGGCUACCGAUCUACCAUUGCUAGUGUGGAUCAGCUCUGCUGCGGCUACUGCUGUGGCGGUGGUGGUUGCUGCAGCUACGGCUGCGGCUGCGGGUGCUCUCUCUCUCUCCUUCUCUCAUCUCUCUGGCUCUAGCACUUGUGCAGUGAUGGGUGCAAUUUAGUGAUGGCCCUAAUGGUGAUUUGCAGGUGUAGGGGAACAGAUGCUUGGUUGCUAGGUGCUAAAAAAAAAAGGAAAGCCAAGUAUUGAGGGAUUCACCUUUGCCUAGGUGACAAGUUCGUCCAUGGUUGUGCUCCCGUGUUCAUCUUCGCCGAUGCAUUGGCCUUUCCUCUUCCUUGGGUAAAUCACAUUCCCUCCUUGCUGAUUUCUCUUCUCCUCUUCCUAGCCGACAUAGUGAUGGUAUGAGUAUUUGGCCAAGAACUAUUUGGCUACUAAUCAUAGGGGAUUCAAAAUUUGGUGCUUGCAAUGGAUGGGGCACAAUCUUGCAUUUCGCUGAUUUGUUGGCUAUUCCCUCACUCCCUACUUCUCUCCUCCUCCUCUCCUGAGCUGCUCACUCCUCACUAAUUGGUUGGAGCUCAUAUGCAUGCAUCUGCUGCCAUUGCUGUCGCCAUGCUUUGAGUGCUUGACCAAGGUGAGAUAGAGUCUUGACUAAGGUGGCUGAAGUUGUGCUACUAUCUUUGUGGUCUUGUGUGAAGCUUCCUAUGUGGAGCUAUGUGAUUGGUGGAAAAUUAAUACUUCUGGUGAAUUGAGGUCCCUUUGGUGAGAUUAAUUCUUUAUUUGAGAUGUGUGGCUUCUUUGUGUUAAUUAGCCGGAUGACGAACCCGACUUAAGUGAGGGGUGCCAGACGGUAUUAGCCGAUCUAGGUAUCUCGGUGAACGGUUGAAUAUACACCACUUUGUGUAUGGGUCUGACGGCAACAUUUAUUUACAUAUUACCUUUUGUGUAUAAAAGGGGUCAAGCUAUGUAUGUCCUGUGCAACCGUAUAUUUAAAUAUAUGCGGCUGUGUUCUUUGCCGUGAGUCCUCAACACAUCUCCCUCGUUUUCCGUGUGCACGCUUUUCAAACUGCUAAACGGUGUGUGUUUUGCAAAAAGUUUCUAUAGGAAAGUUGCUUUAAAAAAUCAUAUUAAUCCAUUUUUUAAAUUUUUUAUAGUUAAUACUUAAUUAAUAAUUCGUUAAUCUAUCUCUCCGUUUUGCGUGUGGAGAGGAGGGGUUCCCAACCCCUCCAAAAGAACACAGCCAGUGUACGUUUAUGUAUACAUGCUGACUGUUUAUAGUGAUGUUUGUUCGUAUAAUAUUUCCAUGUUAUUAUUAUUAGUAUAUUGUGGUGGUAUAUUGGACAUUAUUUAUUUGUUUUACUUCAACAGAUGUGAAUGUUAUAAAUUUUGAGUGGCUUAUUCUUGUUUCCAAAAAUUUUGCUAGUUAACUGAUUAAUUAAUGAUAUAUGUCACAUAAUUUUUAAUUUUUUUAAAUAGCUUAAAAUUCCGGGUUGUUUCACCAUUGAAAAAUCUUUGGAUUAAAACACUAUAUUACGUACAAGUCAAAUAGAAAAUUGAGAAAGCAUCUAAAUUUAUCUAUGAAUAAAACAAAAAACAGGGAACUAGAUGAGCAGAAGUAAGGGCAACACCAAUGUAUCUUGUUUAACUAGGUAAUAAGUAGCAGGGCUAAGUAGUAGGUCUUUGUAAAGUGGGUCCCAUGAGGAAAAAAAUAUUGCUUUUUAGUUGCUUUUUGUCCAACUCAGCAUGCAGUAGUAGCACAUCUUGUGUUGGAAGGAGAGAGUGAGAGAGAUUUUAAUGUUUUUUUAUUCUUAUGAGUGGGUCAUAAGCUUACUAUCUAGCAUUAGUUACUACCCACUUCCACAAUGCUUAUUACUAGAUCAUAGAAAUAUUAUAUUGCUUAAUACCUGCUUUUUCCUAACAUUGUGGAUGCCCUAAGUAGUAACUUGUAAUUUCACUGGAAAAUGAUAGAUAGAAAUUGGCAAUCGAAGACAUAUUUGUUUUAGGAUAUGUAUUUCCACCUGAUUACACAGAUUCUAUUCUGCACAUCUGAAACUAUCUAUAUAAUGGAAACAGCACUAACUUUUUAGAUGCCAUUUUCCCGUAAUAUUGUCUUCCGCAAUUUCUUGAAGUUAAAUGAUCUAUCUAGCAGACUAGCACGUAAACCCACUAAUCACGAUAUAUUCUUAUUAAUUGAACGUUUGUGGAUAAACCUUUUAUAUCUAUGGUAUUAGCGGUUUAAAAUCCAAUGUUGAAAAAAAUCUAUGAAAAAAAAACUAAAAUCAACUUAAAAUUAAGUUUUAAAAUUCAAUUUGCUAAAUAAUAAGCACAGGCUAUAAAGUGGUUGGCGCGCCAACAUGCGUGCUCAUUUUCUACUAAUAGACUAAAUCCAUCUUAUCUGUAGCGCUCAUUGUCUACUAAUAGACUAAAUCCAUCUUAUCUGUAGCUG